AGGAGGCAGCAGUGGGGAAUAUUGGACAAUGGGCGCAAGCCUGAUCCAGCAAUGCCGCGUGAGUGAAGAAGGUCUUCGGAUUGUAAAGCUCUUUUGGCGGGGACGAUGAUGACGGUACCCGCAGAAUAAGCCCCGGCUAACUUCGUGCCAGCAGCCGCGGUAAUACGAAGGGGGCUAGCGUUGCUCGGAAUGACUGGGCGUAAAGGGCGCGUAGGCGGAUUGUACAGUCAGACGUGAAAUUCCUGGGCUCAACCUGGGGGCUGCGUUUGAUACGUAUAGUCUUGAGUGAGGAAGAGGGUUGUGGAAUUCCCAGUGUAGAGGUGAAAUUCGUAGAUAUUGGGAAGAACACCGGUGGCGAAGGCGGCAACCUGGUCCUUUACUGACGCUGAGGCGCGAAAGCGUGGGGAGCAAACAGGAUUAGAUACCCUGGUAGC
RNAcentral lists this ribosomal RNA (434 nucleotides) under uncultured bacterium. RNAcentral's name for it is "bacterial SSU rRNA". It matches the Rfam family "Bacterial small subunit ribosomal RNA", at positions 343 to 794 of the family's 1533-position model. The record is from RNAcentral.